UUCCGGUUGAUCCUGCCGGAGGCUACCGCUAUUGGAGUUCGAUUAAGCCAUGCGAGUCGCGAGUCUUAGGGACUCGGCGUACCGCUCAGUAACACGUGGGUAACCUGCCCUAUGCUGGGGGAUAACCUCGGGAAACUGAGAAUAAUACCCCAUAGUUCACCACGCCUGGAACGGUGGGUGGACCAAAGCUCCGGCGGCAUAGGAUGGGCCUGCGGCGUAUCAGGUUGUAGGGGGUGUAAUGUACCCUCUAGCCCUCUACGCGUACGGGUGUUGAGAGACAUCGCCCGGAGAUGGAUUCUGAGACACGAAUCCAGACCCCACGGGGUGCAGCAGGCGCGAAAACUUGGCAAUGCGAGAAAUCGUGACCAGGGAACUCCAAGUGCAUCGGGUAAGACCGAUGCUUUUCUUGACUCUUCAAAGGUCUUGGAAUAAGGGGUGGGUAAGGACGGUGCCAGCCGCCGCGGUAAUACCGGCGCCCCAAGUGGUAGUCGCUUUUAUUGGGCCUAAAACGUCCGUAGCCGGUCUGGUACAUUCGUGGGUAAAUCAACCAGCUCAACUGGUUGAAUUCUGCGAGCACGGCCAGACUUGGGACCGGGAGAGGUGUGGGGUACUCUCAGGGUAGGGGUAAAAUCCUGUCAUCCUGAGAGGACCACCUGUUGCGAAGGCGCCACACUAGAACGGAUCCGACGGUCAGGGACGAAGCCUAGGGGCACGAACCGGAUUAGAUACCCGGGUAGUCCUAGGUGUAAACGCUGUGGACUUGAUGUUGGGGGCGCUCCGAGCGCACUCAGUGUCGAAGCGAAGGUGAUAAGUCCACUGCCUGGGGAGUACGGUCGCAAGGCUGAAACUUAAAGGAAUUGGCGGGGGAGCACCGCAACCUGAGGAUUGUGCGGUUUAAUUGGAUUCAACGCCGG
RNAcentral lists this ribosomal RNA (914 nucleotides) under uncultured marine archaeon. RNAcentral's name for it is "bacterial SSU rRNA". It matches the Rfam family "Archaeal small subunit ribosomal RNA", at positions 1 to 921 of the family's 1478-position model. The record is from RNAcentral.